AACCAUUCAUUUUGAUGCAAGGCAGGGGUGUCCAGACCUGCUCUAGGAAAGCCAGUGUUCUCUGGAGUUUAGCUCUAACACACCUGCCUGGAACUUCUAACUAAUUAAAUUGAAGUAUCCAAAUGAAGACCCUAGCAGUAUGGAGUAUAUGGAUACAGACGUUGCCAGCAAUCAGGAGGUGAUCCAUAAGACUCGUGGGAAUCUAUUUGAAGCUGCAGUCAUUGAAGACAGUUCAGCAGAAGUUGGAGUUUUAGAGGAUAAAGUUCUUCAGGACCUAUAGCAGUUUACAGUCUGCAAAACCAUGUUUCUGGGACUGAUAUAUGGACUGAACUUGAGCAACCCUCCUGAACUCAGGUACACUUUUGGAAUACUGAAGAAGUUAUUUCUGGAGCCAGUUCCUGUUCCUGGAAUAAGGUUUGAUUGGUUACCCAUGAAUGCCAGUUAGAAAAUGAGUAGUUUCAUAUUUCCGCUAUUUUGUGUAAUUUUGUAACAUGGUUUCAACUGUAUUUA
Molecule: long non-coding RNA, 510 nt
Organism: Carassius carassius (crucian carp)
Lineage: Eukaryota; Metazoa; Chordata; Actinopteri; Cypriniformes; Cyprinidae
Exons: 3
Source: RefSeq, a predicted model, not a curated record